UACGAAGGGGGCUAGCGUUGCUCGGAAUCACUGGGCGUAAAGGGUGCGUAGGCGGGUCUUUAAGUCAGAGGUGAAAUCCUGGAGCUCAACUCCAGAACUGCCUUUGAUACUGGGAAGCUUGAGUCCGGAAGAGGUGAGUGGAACUCCGAGUGUAGAGGUGAAAUUCGUAGAUAUUGGGAAGAACACCAGUGGCGAAGGCGGCUAACUGGUCCAGAUCUGACGCUGAGGUGCGAAAGCGUGGGGAGCAAACAGG
This 253-nucleotide ribosomal RNA is filed under the name uncultured bacterium. RNAcentral describes it as "partial 16S ribosomal RNA". It matches the Rfam family "Bacterial small subunit ribosomal RNA", at positions 524 to 776 of the family's 1533-position model. The record is from RNAcentral.